Long non-coding RNA from Echinops telfairi (small Madagascar hedgehog), 606 nucleotides. RefSeq lists it as uncharacterized. The record is from RefSeq and is a predicted model, not a curated record. The transcript has 2 exons. NCBI's taxonomy places the organism in Eukaryota, Metazoa, Chordata, Mammalia, Afrosoricida, Tenrecidae.
GUCCACAAUUGUGGGGCUUUGGGCCUCCACUCCAACUCCUAUCUUCCACAUCGAUAUAGUUGUUUGAUACCUGAAAUAUUUUUUUCAGAUAGUGGAGACAGUGGAAAUAAUGGAAAGAUACAGAAUUCAUCAGUACCACUAGGGAUUCGCUGAAUGACUUUGACAAGUAACUGCGCAUCUCUGGUUCUUAACUGUGAUAUAAGCCUAGUCCAGUUGUAUUAGGCAGCAGCGUUAUGGAAUCGAGGCUGUACCUGGCAGCAGAGGAGUUGAGCGUGUAGUAACUGACUGCCUGGACGGAGAUGGAAUGAAGACUGGUGUUGGAGUUAGGGCAGGAGUGGCAAGGAGGAACUGGCAGAGUGAGAGCCAAUGGUCUGGGUGAGGUUUUGAUCUGCCAGCAAAUACAUGUAAUUUUAGGGACUCCAUAGAAGUGGUGGGGUCAGUUCUUGUUCUGCACUGCUCAGAGUGAGGUAGCUCUUGCUUUUUCUUUUGGUCAAGGAUCUUUUAAGCCAGAAAGCCUUCCCUGUCUUAUAUACACACCCUUUGUGUUUGUGCAGAUCUCUUUCCGAACUCACCCCAUUAUAGUAAACUUGUGCCCCAACCACCACA